RNAcentral lists this ribosomal RNA (432 nucleotides) under uncultured bacterium. RNAcentral describes it as "bacterial SSU rRNA". It matches the Rfam family "Bacterial small subunit ribosomal RNA", at positions 33 to 507 of the family's 1533-position model. The record is from RNAcentral.
AGCGACGCUGGCGGCAGGCCUAAUACAUGCAAGUCGAGCGGUCCCUUCGGGGGCAGCGGCGGACGGGUGAGUAACGCGUGGGAACGUGCCCUUUGGUACGGAACAACUGAGGGAAACUUCAGCUAAUACCGUAUGUGCCCUUCGGGGGAAAGAUUUAUCGCCAUUGGAGCGGCCCGCGUUGGAUUAGGUAGUUGGUGAGGUAAAGGCUCACCAAGCCUACGAUCCAUAGCUGGUCUGAGAGGAUGAUCAGCCACACUGGGACUGAGACACGGCCCAGACUCCUACGGGAGGCAGUAGUAGGGAAUCUUGCGCAAUGGGCGAAAGCCUGACGCAGCCAUGCCGCGUGAAUGAUGAAGGUCUUAGGAUUGUAAAAUUCUUUCACCGGGGACGAUAAUGACGGUACCCGGAGAAGAAGCCCCGGCUAACUUCGUG